UGAGCAAUCUGCCCUUCUCUUCGGAAUAAGCGUUGGAAACGACGUCUAAUGCCGAAUACGACCUCCUUUCGCAUGAUCGGAGGUGGAAAGCUCCGGCGGAGAAGGAUGAGCUCGCGGCCUAUCAGCUAGUUGGUGUGGGUAACGCCCACCAAGGCGACGACGGGUAGCCGGCCUGAGAGGGUGACCGGCCACACGUGGGACUGAGACACGGCCCAGACCUCCGUACGGGAGCAGCGAGG
This 239-nucleotide ribosomal RNA is filed under the name uncultured bacterium. RNAcentral describes it as "partial 16S ribosomal RNA". It matches the Rfam family "Bacterial small subunit ribosomal RNA", at positions 118 to 353 of the family's 1533-position model. The record is from RNAcentral.